UUACGAGGUCAGGACACUGUGAGGAUUGACAGAUUGAAAGCUCUUUCUUGAUUCAGUGGGUGGUGGUGCAUGGCCGUUCUUAGUUGGUGGAGUGAUUUGUCUGGUUAAUUCCGUUAGCGAACGAGACCUUAACCUGCUAAAUAGUCACGCGAACCGGUCCGCAAGGGCUCAAAGUUCKCGGCUCGACUUCUUAGAGGGACUAUUCGCACCCGCCAGCGAAUGGAAGUUUGAGGCAAUAACAGGUCUGUGAUGCCCUUAGAUGUUCUCGGCCGCACGCGCGUUACACUGACGGAGUCAACGAGCGUUUUUCCUUGCCCGACAGGGCUGGGUAACCUCCUGAAACUCCGUCGUGAUGGGGAUAGAUCAUUGCAAUUAUUGAUCUUGAACGAGGAAUUCCUAGUAAGCGCGAGUCAUCAACUCGCGCUGAUUACGUCCCUGCCCUUUGUACACACCGCCCGUCGCUCCUACCGAUUGAACGGUCCGGCGAGAACUCCGGAUGGUC
Molecule: ribosomal RNA, 502 nt
Filed under: Vermamoeba vermiformis
Lineage: Eukaryota; Tubulinea; Echinamoebida; Vermamoebidae
Description: SSU rRNA
Rfam family: Eukaryotic small subunit ribosomal RNA
Source: RNAcentral